RNAcentral lists this transfer RNA (84 nucleotides) under Felis catus (domestic cat). It matches the Rfam family "tRNA". Rfam says of the family: Transfer RNA (tRNA) molecules are approximately 80 nucleotides in length. Their secondary structure includes four short double-helical elements and three loops (D, anti-codon, and T loops). Further hydrogen bonds mediate the characteristic L-shaped molecular structure. tRNAs have two regions of fundamental functional importance: the anti-codon, which is responsible for specific mRNA codon recognition, and the 3' end, to which the tRNAs corresponding amino acid is attached (by aminoacyl-tRNA synthetases). tRNAs cope with the degeneracy of the genetic code in two manners: having more than one tRNA (with a specific anti-codon) for a particular amino acid; and 'wobble' base-pairing, i.e. permitting non-standard base-pairing at the 3rd anti-codon position. Lineage: Eukaryota; Metazoa; Chordata; Mammalia; Carnivora; Felidae. The record is from Rfam by way of RNAcentral.
GCCUGGGUAGCUCAGUUGGUUAAGCGUCCGACUUUGGCUCAGGUCAUGAUCUCGCAGUUCGUGGGUUCAAGCCCGCAUCAGGCU